AGCGAACGCUGGCGGCAGGCCUAACACAUGCAAGUCGAACGAACUCUUCGGAGUUAGUGGCGGGCGGGUGAGUAACACGUGGGAACGUGCCUUUUGGUUCGGAAUAACUCAGGGAAACUUGUGCUAAUACCGAAUGUGCCCUUCGGGGGAAAGAUUUAUCGCCAUUAGAGCGGCCCGCGUCUGAUUAGCUAGUUGGUGAGGUAACGGCUCACCAAGGCGACGAUCAGUAGCUGGGCUGAGAGGAUGACCAGCCACACUGGGACUGAGACGCGGCCCAGACUCCUACGGGAGGCAGCAGUGGGGAAUCUUGCGCAAUGGGCGGAAGCCUGACGCAGCCAUGCCGCGUGAAUGAUGAAGGUCGUAGGAUUGUAAAAUUCUUUCACCGGGGACGAUAAUGACGGUACCCGGAGAAGAAGCCCCGGCUAACUUCGUG
Molecule: ribosomal RNA, 433 nt
Filed under: uncultured bacterium
Lineage: Bacteria
Description: partial 16S ribosomal RNA
Rfam family: Bacterial small subunit ribosomal RNA
Source: RNAcentral